RNAcentral lists this ribosomal RNA (301 nucleotides) under uncultured bacterium. Its description in RNAcentral is "partial 16S ribosomal RNA". It matches the Rfam family "Bacterial small subunit ribosomal RNA", at positions 509 to 807 of the family's 1533-position model. The record is from RNAcentral.
CAGCAGCCGCGGUAAUACAGAGGGUGCAAGCGUUAAUCGGAAUUACUGGGCGUAAAGCGCGCGUAGGUGGUUUGUUAAGUUGGAUGUGAAAGCCCCGGGCUCAACCUGGGAACUGCAUCCAAAACUGGCAAGCUAGAGUACGGUAGAGGGUGGUGGAAUUUCCUGUGUAGCGGUGAAAUGCGUAGAUAUAGGAAGGAACACCAGUGGCGAAGGCGACCACCUGGACUGAUACUGACACUGAGGUGCGAAAGCGUGGGGAGCAAACAGGAUUAGAGACCCCUGUAGUCCCUGUCUAUUAUAC